GGUACAUAACACGAGGUGCCACUGUAUCUAUAUAUAGAUAUAUAUAUAGAUACAGUGGUACCUCGGGUUAAGUACUUA
This is a non-coding RNA of Podarcis lilfordi (Lilford's wall lizard), 78 nucleotides long. The record is from the annotation of a GenBank genome assembly. NCBI's taxonomy places the organism in Eukaryota, Metazoa, Chordata, Lepidosauria, Squamata, Lacertidae.